Molecule: ribosomal RNA, 380 nt
Filed under: uncultured bacterium
Lineage: Bacteria
Description: bacterial SSU rRNA
Rfam family: Bacterial small subunit ribosomal RNA
Source: RNAcentral
AUUGAACGCUGGCGGCGUGCUUAACACAUGCAAGUCGUGCGGUAACAGGCGUAGCAAUACGUGCUGACGAGCGGCGAACGGGUGCGUAAUACAUGGGAAUCUGCCCUUUAGUGGGGAAUAACCCGGCGAAAGCCGGGCUAAUGCCGCAUAAGAUCUUCGGAUGAAAGCGGGGGAUCGUAAGACCUCGCGCUGUUGGAUGAGCCCAUGUCGGAUUAGCUAGNGGUGAGGUAACGGCUCACCAAGGCGACGAUCCGUAGCUGGUCUGAGAGGACGGCCAGCCACACUGGGACUGAGACACGGCCCAGACUCCUACGGGAGGCAGCAGUGGGGAAUAUUGGACAAUGGCGCAAGCCUGAUCCAGCGAUGCCGCGUGUGUGAAG